Molecule: unclassified non-coding RNA, 318 nt
Organism: Rhinopithecus bieti (black snub-nosed monkey)
Lineage: Eukaryota; Metazoa; Chordata; Mammalia; Primates; Cercopithecidae
Gene: 7SK
Rfam family: 7SK RNA
About the family: 7SK was discovered as an abundant small nuclear RNA in the mid-70s but a possible function has only recently been suggested. Two independent studies have found that 7SK RNA binds the CDK9/cyclin T complex (known as elongation factor P-TEFb). P-TEFb activates transcription by phosphorylating the C-terminal domain of RNA polymerase II.
Source: Ensembl
GAAUGUGAGGGUGAUCUGGCUAUGAUAUCUGUCCCCCGCUGAUGGCCAGGGUUGAUUAGGCUGAUCUGGCUGCCUAGGCAGGUGUCCCCUUCCUCCCUCACCACUCCAUGUGCGUCCCUCCUGAAGCUGCACUGUGGGUUGAAGGGAACAGUCUUCCCCAAUAGAAAAGGACUGUUCUUUCAUCCAAGAUAUCUGAGUGGCCAUGCUUCCCUGCUAGAACCUCCAAACAAGCUCCCAAGCUUGAGCCUCGAGGUUCCUCAGAAAGUAGAUGGUAGUUGGCACGAUGACGUGGCAGAGGGCUCUCAGGAAAGUAUAAAU